This 748-nucleotide ribosomal RNA is filed under the name Bacillus subtilis. Its description in RNAcentral is "partial 16S ribosomal RNA". The stretch from base 12 to 547 matches the Rfam family "Bacterial small subunit ribosomal RNA", at positions 36 to 538 of the family's 1533-position model. Lineage: Bacteria; Bacillati; Bacillota; Bacilli; Caryophanales; Bacillaceae. The record is from RNAcentral.
AAAAACAAAAAUUUGCGCUGCGUAAUACAUGCAAGUCGAGCGGACAUAUGGGAGCUUGCUCCCUGAUGUUAGCGGCGGACGGGUGAGUAACACGUGGGUAACCUGCCUGUUAGACUGGGAUAACUCCGGGAAACCGGGGCUAAUACCGGAUGCUUGUUUGAACCGCAUGGUUCAGACAUAAAAGGUGGCUUCGGCUACCACUUACAGAUGGACCCGCGGCGCAUUAGCUAGUUGGUGAGGUAACGGCUCACCAAGGCGACGAUGCGUAGCCGACCUGAGAGGGUGAUCGGCCACACUGGGACUGAGACACGGCCCAGACUCCUACGGGAGGCAGCAGUAGGGAAUCUUCCGCAAUGGACGAAAGUCUGACGGAGCAACUGUUCUCGCGUGAGUGAUGAAGGGUUUUCCGGGAUCGUAAAGGCUCUGUUGGUUUAGGGAAGAACAAGUGCCGUUCAAAUAGGGCGGCACCUUGACGGUACCUAAACCAGAAAGCCACGGGCUAACUACGUGCCCAGCAGCCCGCGGGUAAUACCGUAAGGUGGGCAAAGCCGUUUGUCCCGGAAAUUUAUUUGGGGCCGUUAAAAGGGGGCUCCGCAAGGCCGGUUUUUCUUAAAGGUCUUGAUUGUGAAAAGCCCCCCCGGCCUCCACCGGGGGGAGGGGUCUNUGGAAACUGGGGGACCUUGAGUUGCAAAAAGAGGAAAAGUGGAAUUCCCCCGUUUGUUACCGGUGAANAUGGCUGUAAAAAAAU